This 70-nucleotide transfer RNA is filed under the name Lethocerus indicus. Its description in RNAcentral is "tRNA-Asn". Lineage: Eukaryota; Metazoa; Arthropoda; Insecta; Hemiptera; Belostomatidae. The record is from RNAcentral.
UUAGGUCAAGCCAAAUAGAGGCAUUUCAUUGUUAAUGAAAAAAUUGGGACUAAAAUAAACCCCAACUAAA